GUGAGAAAUAGAUUUAAGGGCCUAGAUCUGAUAGAUAGAGUGCCUGAUGAACUAUGGAAUGAGGUUCCUGACAUUGUACAGGAGACAGGGAUCAAGACCAUCCCCAUGGAAAAGAAAUGCAAAAAAGCAAAAUGGCUGUCUGGGGAGGCCUUACAAAUAGCUGUGAAAAGAAGAGAAGAGAAAAGCAAAGGAGAAAAGGAAAGAUAUAAGCAUCUGAAUGCAGAGUUCCAAAGAAUAGCAAGAAGAGAUAAGAAAGCCUUCUUCAGCGAUCAAUGCAAAGAAAUAGAGGAAAACAACAGAAUGGGAAAGACUAGGGAUCUCUUCAAGAAAAUCAGAGAUACUAAGGGAACAUUUCAUGCAAAGAUGGGCUCAAUAAAGGACAGAAAUGGUAUGGACCUAACAGAAGCAGAAGAUAUUAAGAAGAGAUGGCAAGAAUACACAGAAGAACUGUACAAAAAAGAUCUUCAUGACCCAGAUAAUCACGAUGGUGUGAUCACUGACCUAGAGCCAGACAUCCUGGAACGUGAAGUCAAGUGGGCCUUAGAAAGCAUCACUACGAACAAAGCUAGUGGAGGUGAUGGAAUUCCAGUUGAACUAUUCCAAAUCCUGAAAGAUGAUGCUGUGAAAGUGCUGCACUCAAUAUGCCAGCAAAUUUGGAAAACUCAGCAGUGGCCACAGGACUGGAAAAGGUCAGUUUUCAUUCCAAUCCCAAAGAAAGGAAAUGCCAAAGAAUGCUCAAACUACCGCACAAUUGCACUCAUCUCACAUGCUAGUAAAGUAAUGCUCAAAAUUCUCCAAGCCAGGCUUCAGCAAUAUGUGAACGGUGAACUUCCUGUUGUUGAAGCUGGUUUUAGAAAAGGCAGAGGAACCAGAGAUCAAAAUGCCAACAUCUGCUGGAUCAUGGAAAAAGCAAGAGAGUUCCAGAAAAGCAUCUAUUUCUGCUUUAUUGACUAUGCCAAAGCCUUUGACUGUGUGGAUCACAAUAAACUGGAAAAUUCUUCAAGAGAUGGGAAUACUAGACCACCUGAUCUGCCU
This 1035-nucleotide long non-coding RNA is filed under the name Bos indicus x Bos taurus (hybrid cattle). RNAcentral describes it as "lncRNA (ENSBIXG00000011312.1)". Lineage: Eukaryota; Metazoa; Chordata; Mammalia; Artiodactyla; Bovidae. The record is from RNAcentral.